Molecule: ribosomal RNA, 446 nt
Filed under: uncultured bacterium
Lineage: Bacteria
Description: partial 16S ribosomal RNA
Rfam family: Bacterial small subunit ribosomal RNA
Source: RNAcentral
CCUACGGGUGGCAGCAGUCGAGAAUCAUUCACAAUGGGGGAAACCCUGAUGGUGCGACGCCGCGUGGGGGAAUGAAGAUCUUCGGAUUGUAAACCCCUGUCAUGUGGGAGCAAAUUAAAAAGAUAGUACCACAAGAGGAAGAGACGGCUAACUCUGUGCCAGCAGACGCGGUAAUACGGAGGUCGCAAGCGUUGUUCGGAAUCACUGGGCGUAAAGCGUGCGUAGGCUGUUUCGUAAGUCGUGUGUGAAAGGCGCGGGCUCAACCCGCGGACGGCACAUGAUACUGCGAGACUAGAGUAAGGGAGGGGGAACCGGAAUUCUCGGUGUAGCAGUGAAAUGCGUAGAUAUUGAGAGGAACACUCGUGGCGAAGGCGGGUUCCUGGACAUUAACUGACGCUGAGGCACGAAGGCCAGGGGAGCGAAAGGGAUUAGAUACCCUGGUAGUC